This 294-nucleotide ribosomal RNA is filed under the name Euglandina singleyana. Its description in RNAcentral is "partial 16S ribosomal RNA". Lineage: Eukaryota; Metazoa; Mollusca; Gastropoda; Stylommatophora; Spiraxidae. The record is from RNAcentral.
ACACUGACUGUGCUAAGGUAGCAUAAUAAGUUGGCUUAUAAUUGAAGUCUUGUAUGAAAGGGACUUGAUGGGUAGUAACUGUCUCUUUAAGUUUAAAUAAAAAUUAUUUAGGGGGUGAAAAUGCCCCCUCUUAAAAGAAAGACGAGAAGACCCUUAGAAUUUUUUAUUACAGUUAAUUUUUUUAAUACGUAUUUGUUGGGGCGACAAAUUAGCAAUUUUAACCUAAUUAUUAUAGUAAGUUUUACACGUAAUUUAUAAUUAGGAUUGAUUAAUUACCUAAGGGAUAACAGCAUA